Molecule: ribosomal RNA, 387 nt
Filed under: Stramenopiles sp. MAST-1B
Lineage: Eukaryota
Description: partial small subunit ribosomal RNA
Rfam family: Eukaryotic small subunit ribosomal RNA
Source: RNAcentral
AUUCCAGCUCCAAUAGCGUAUACUAAAGUUGUUGCAGUUAAAAAGCUCGUAGUUGGAUUUCUGGUAGGAGCGACCGGUCCGCCCUGUUAAGGGUGUGUACUGGCGUUGUCUCUGGCCAUCCUUGGGGGAACUGCGCGGGGAGACUUGCGUUAGGGAACCCAUCGUUUACUGUGAAAAAAUUAGAGUGUUUAAAGCAGGCUUAUGCCGUUGAAUACAUUAGCAUGGAAUAAUAAGAUAGGACCGCGUGGUCGUCUUGUUGGUUUGCACCGCGAGGUAAUGAUUAAUAGGUACAGUUGGGGGUAUUCGUAUUUAAUUGUCAGAGGUGAAAUUCUUGGAUUUAUGAAAGACGAACUUCUGCGAAAGCAUUUACCAAGGAUGUUUUCAUUA